AGUGAACGCUGGCGGUAGGCCUAACACAUGCAAGUCGAACGGCAGCACAGUAAGAGCUUGCUCUUACGGGUGGCGAGUGGCGGACGGGUGAGGAAUACAUCGGAAUCUACUUUUUCGUGGGGGAUAACGUAGGGAAACUUACGCUAAUACCGCAUACGACCUACGGGUGAAAGCAGGGGAUCUUCUGACUUUGCGCGAAUGAAUGAGCCGAUGUCGGAUUAGCUAGUUGGCGGGGUAAAGGCCCACCAAGGCGACGAUCCGUAGCUGGUCUGAGAGGAUGUUCAGCCACACUAGAACAGAGACACGAUCCAGGAACCUACGCGAGGCAGCAGUGGGGAAUAUUGGACAAUGGGCGCAAGCCUAAUCCAGCCAAACCGCGUGAGUGAAGAAGGGCUUCGGGUUGUAAAACCCUUUUGUUGGGAGAGAAAAGCAGCAGAUUAAUACCCCGCUGUUCUGACGGUACCCGAAGAAUAAGCACCGGCUAACUUCGUG
Molecule: ribosomal RNA, 492 nt
Filed under: uncultured bacterium
Lineage: Bacteria
Description: partial 16S ribosomal RNA
Rfam family: Bacterial small subunit ribosomal RNA
Source: RNAcentral